RNAcentral lists this non-coding RNA (782 nucleotides) under Phaolus metallicus. Lineage: Eukaryota; Metazoa; Arthropoda; Insecta; Coleoptera; Cerambycidae. The record is from RNAcentral.
CGAAAGUUUUAUUUUAGCUUAAAAAUUAAGUUUAAUUUUAUUUUACAUGUAAAUUUUAGUGAGAAUUGUAGGUGUCUUAAAUAGAUGUUUAUUUAAUCUUAUUCGCAGUAAAGAAAUUUGAAUAUCAACUUAUGUUGGAUUGAGGAAUAAUUUUUUGUAUCGGCCAAAUUUGUGCCAGCAGCUGCGGUUACACAGGUGAUGCUUCUUAAUUUUUUGGGGUUCAGUAAAUUUGUUAGGUAAAUUUUAAAUUAAAGAUUAUAAAGUGAAAUUUCUAAUUUUUAUAAAAAUUUAAAUUUUUUAGUAAGGCUGGGAAAUUCUUUAUAUAAACUAGGAUUAGAGACCCUAUUAUUUUGAAUGUAAAUUUUAUGCCUGGAAUAGUAAUAGUUAUGUUCUUGAAAAUUAAAAAUUUUGGCGGUAUUUUAGUCCAUUCAGAGGAACCUGUCCUAUAAUCGAUGGUCCACGAUUUAUGUUACUUUUUUUUAGUAGUUUGUAUAUCGUCGUCGUUUGAGCAUUUUAUAAGAAUAAUAAUGCUCAAGAUUUUACUCAGAAGAGAAAUCAGAUCAAGGUGUAGCUUAUAAAAAAGAAGAGAUGGGUUACAAUAAAUUUAUUUAGAAGGAUUAAUUGUUUGAGAAGGAGUUAUGAAUUUGGAUUUGAAGGUAAUUUUAAUUAAAUAAUUAAGAUGAUUUUGGCUCUAAAAUAUGCACAUAUCGCCCGUCGCUUUCAUCCCAAGGUGAAAUAAGUCGUAACAAGGUAGGCUUACCGGAAGGUGAGCCUAGUUAGGC